This is a non-coding RNA of Cinara cedri, 103 nucleotides long. The record is from the annotation of a GenBank genome assembly. NCBI's taxonomy places the organism in Eukaryota, Metazoa, Arthropoda, Insecta, Hemiptera, Aphididae.
ACCAUCAUCUCCACCUCAUUGCUCCACCUCAUUGCUCCACCUCAAUGAGGUGGAACAUUGAGGUGGAGCAAUGAGGUGGAGCAAUGAGGUGGAGAUGAUGGUA